GGCUGCGUAGUUCAAGGGAUAGAAUAGGCGUUUCCUAAACGCUUGAUAGCAGUUCGAAUCUGCUCGUGGCUA
Molecule: non-coding RNA, 72 nt
Organism: Hymenobacter sp.
Lineage: Bacteria; Pseudomonadati; Bacteroidota; Cytophagia; Cytophagales; Hymenobacteraceae
Source: Rfam